GACGAACGCUGGCGGCGUGCUUAACACAUGCAAGUCGAACGGAAAGGCCCUGCUUUUGUGGGGUGCUCGAGUGGCGAACGGGUGAGUAACACGUGAGUAACCUGCCCUUGACUGGGGGAUAACUUCAGGAAACUGGGGCUAAUACCGGAUAUGAGCUCCUGCUGCAUGGUGGGGGUUGGAAAGUUUCGGCGGUUGGGGAUGGACUCGCGGCUUAUCAGCUUGUUGGUGGGGUAGUGGCUUACCAAGGCUUUGACGGGUAGCCGGCCUGAGAGGGUGACCGGCCACAUUGGGACUGAGAUACGGCCCAGACUCCUACGGGAGGCAGCAGUGGGGAAUCUUGCACAAUGGGCGGAAGCCUGAUGCAGCAACGCCGCGUGCGGGAUGACGGCCUUCGGGUUGUAAACCGCUUUCGCCUGUGACGAAGCGUGAGUGACGGUAAUGGGUAAAGAAGCCCCGGCUAACUACGUG
RNAcentral lists this ribosomal RNA (468 nucleotides) under uncultured bacterium. RNAcentral's name for it is "partial 16S ribosomal RNA". It matches the Rfam family "Bacterial small subunit ribosomal RNA", at positions 28 to 507 of the family's 1533-position model. The record is from RNAcentral.